Molecule: RNA transcript, 5052 nt
Organism: Oncorhynchus keta (chum salmon)
Lineage: Eukaryota; Metazoa; Chordata; Actinopteri; Salmoniformes; Salmonidae
Gene name: alanine aminotransferase 2-like
Exons: 11
Source: RefSeq, a predicted model, not a curated record
UAUAUCCCGAGGUUUAACUGAGAUGGAAAAAUACUGAACAACACAAUAGCAGGAACUGAGCAACUGUUAUAACUAGGGUGUGAUACCAGAACAGUAAGAAUCUAUACAUCGACAGAGGGUGGACUCCAAGAAGCACCAAGAUGCGGGGACCAGCCUGAGGGCCUGCGAUAGGCUGAGCAAGUCUAAACCACGCUCAGCCUCUACUGUGUUAGGCCAACAGAUGAGUUGGAACGACGUCUAUCACAGUAUAAGAACAUCUGUUUACUUACAUCCUGUCAGUUCUCUGCUUGCCCUGCGUGGUGAUACAGUGAACCCGUAUAUACGAAAAUUGCAUUUGCCAUUUAUUGCUUGAAUUUAAUUAAAGAUAAUUAACGACAGAUUCUGACUUUUAUUCUUCCUGAUACCGGAUUCGAAAGACGCAACCCUAUCACUUGACACCCACAAGACCGAUAAGGAAUAUACUUUUUAUUCAGCCCGCCACACGGAAUACUCCAGGUUAAACAACUAUUGUCUCUUCUCUACCGAGCAACCCAGAACAGAACUCACACAGGGAGUGAGGAAGCCCUAUAUGGAUGUGAUAGACGUCAGUUGGGGAGACCCACACGAAGGAGGGGUAAAACCCUUGACUUUUGUGCGACAGGUUCUUGCAGCCUGCAUGUACCCUGAGCUGGUCGAAAGUGAUAAACUGCCAGUGGACGUUAAACAGAGGGCCCAAAGCCUACUGAGCGCAUGUGAUGGGGGGAGUGUAGGCUCAUACACGCCCACUGGUGGUAUCUCUUAUAUACUGUGCAGUGUGUCCAACUUCAUCUCUCGACGAGAUGGUGGUGUACCAUCGUCCCCCGAGAAUAUAUUCAUGACCUCUGGCUCCCAGAGGUCUUUAAUGCUGGUUCUGAAGCUGUUGGUCCACAAUCAGGCCUCACUCCCGACAGGUGUACUGACCGCUGUUCCCGCCUCCUCUUUCUUCAUAAUGAUGCUGCAAAGCCUCGGUGCAGCCGUUGUUCCCUACUACCUAGAUGAGGAGCAGGGUUGGGCAAUAGAGGUGGAGGAGCUACGCAGAGCAUUACAGGCCUCUAAGGGUGUCUGCAACACAGUUGCCCUGUAUGUCAUCAACCCGGGGAAUCCUACAGGUCAUGUUCAGAGCAGGAAGUGUAUUGAAAAGGUGAUCCGAUUCGCAGCUGAGGAGAGGCUCUUCCUCAUGGUUGAUGAGGUGUAUCAGGAAAGUGUGUUCGGGGAGGGCAGUGAGUUUGUCUCCUAUAAGAAGGUACUGUCUGAGAUGGGGCCUCCUCUCUCUCACACAGUGGAGCUGGCCUCUUUCCACUCAGCAUCCAAAGGCUUCAUGGGAGAGUGUGGGCUUCGCGGGGGGUAUGUGGAGCUGGUGAACCUUGACCCCGCCGUCAUGAGGUACGCCUACACCCUCUUUUCCACUGACAUCUGUGCCCCUGUGACUGGUCAGCUAGCCCUGGAGCUCAUGGCUAACCCUCCCAGGCCAGGGGACCCCUCAUACCCGGUCUAUGCCCAGGAGACCCAGUCUAUCCGGGCCAUGCUGGUCCAUAACAUGAACUGGGUCCCAGAGUUUCUGAACAAUAUCCCAGGGAUCAGCUGUCAGCCGAUGAUGGGAGGAGCUUUCGUAUUUCCCGGCUGUAUCUACCCCAAGCAGCCAUUGAGAAGGCCAAGGUGGUGGGGAUGCAGCCUGACCUGUGGUACUGUAAACAGUUACUAGAGGAGGCAGGAGUGUGUGUGGGACCGGGGUGUGAGUAUGGACAGAAGGAAGGCACCCACCACAUCAGACUGUGUGUCAUGACCCCAGUGGAAACCAUGGAAGAGGUACUGAAACGCCUGAAGAACUUCCACCUGCACUUCCUCAAGGAGUUCUCCUGGAAACUGGCUUAACCUUACAGCCCAAAGAUGAAUAAUACAUUUAACUUCAGACACAAUCACAGUACAGAGAAGAAAAUUGCAACCAGUAACAUUGUUUAACAUCUUUAUCUUUCAACAGACCAUAUUUCAAUAAUAAAUUAAGACAACACAUGACCUGAGUUGAAAAAUUCAGCAUUUGGAUUGAACAAAGACGGGCGUGAGCUGCUUUUAACAUAAUUAUUUUGCUUCAAGUCAUGCAUGUCCACAGAAAAAACAUAUUCUCCGUAUUUUGUCAAACUUCGGCAUUAGAGAAUGAAACUACCUGUCUCAGACAGUGUAGAUCCCCUCUAAAUGCUCACUCUUCUUAACAAUAAGAACGUUACCUUGUUAAGAUCUGCCAUUGUGGGGCAGAUAUUGGAACUAAGGGAAUAAGUGAAAGUUUACAUUUAAGGUAAGGAUAGAUUUUGGCCAUAUUCACUAACAUCCAAAGUCCAUCAUGUCAAUUCAAUACUUUCUAUGACUGUGAUAUGUUUGUCUCACCUAACUAUCAUAAAAUGAAUGCAUUAACUGUAAGUCGCUCUGCAUUAGAACAUCUGCUAAAUUACUAAGAUGUAAAAAUGACAAAUAAACAGACUGUUUAUUUGUUUGUGAGGAUAAAAAUAUUUAAUCCAAGACAUUUGUUAUUCUAUAACAACAGUUUUAAUGUCAUAUUCAAUAAGUAUAUAAAUACACUAAAACCUCAUAGGCCUACUGACAAAAGAUGGAUGUUUUAAAUCACCUCAGAUUCUCAACCAUUCUAUUGAACACAUUACACUUGACUUACUAUGUGCUAUAAUACAGCUAUAGUCAAAUUAGAGUUUAACAAUCAGAGAUUCUAACAAUAUGCUCUGAAUAUUAACAAAAUAUCAGAAAUGUAACAGAAUUUGCAGCAUUGUAGUAUUUACCAAAUCAAAAGCCUGUGCUAAGAUCUGAAUAGCAGUUUCAAGGUUGUGUUCGUAACAACUAUCCUGCCAGGAGCAAAAAUGAUGACACUUUUGUAUGGUACUGACUAAACUUUCAAAACUUUGCAAUGUCGAUAACUCAUUCAAAAGAUAUACAUUUAAUCAAUGGCAAUUCUUUAUGGUGAUUAUAUGCAAUUGCAAUACAUUAUUUUUUAAUUUUUUAAAAAGAGAUUGUAACCACUGUUAAAUCUAAUUUUCAUGGUCUAUUUACAAUGUUGUGCUGUAGAGAUUUUAUUUUUGCCAAUGUAAAAGUGGGGUUGGGAGUACUUAGUAGGGUCUGUAGAAUCUAUAUAUGGUGUUCUUUCGUGGAGGACUGGAUAAGAGUGUUGCUGGCCUUUUACUCCUUCCAUUCCAUAAGCCUCAAUGCCGACCCUUCGUAAACUUUUUGAACAAAUUGUGUUUGACUAGAUACAAUGCUACUUCACAGUAUUUUUAAAUGUCUUUAUUUCACCUUUAUUUAUAAGAUAAAGCAAAGCAGUGCGACACAAACAACAACACUGAGUUACACAGAAUAAACAAACGUACAGUUAAUAUACAGUGUGUUCAAAUGAAGUAAAAUUAGGAAGGUAAGGCAAUAAAUAGGGAGGUAAGGCAAUUACAAUUUAACAAAUAAACACUGGAGUGAUAGAUGUGCAGAAUAUAGAGUAGAGAUACUGGGGUGCAAAGGAGCAAAAAUAAAAUAUAUAUAAAUGGGGAUGAGGUAGUUGGAUGGACUAUUUACAGGUGAGCUUAUGUACAGGUACAAUGAUCUGUAAGAUGCUCUGACAGCUGAUGCUUAAAGUUAGUGAGGGAGAUAUAAGUCUCCAGCUUCAGUGAUUUUUGCAAUUUGUUUCAGUCAUUGGCAGCAGUGAACUGGAAGGAAAGGCGGCCAAAGGAGGAAUUGGCUUUGGGGCUGACCAGUGAGAUAUACCUGCUGGAGCGCGUGCUAUGGGUGGGUGCUGCUAUGGUGACCAGUGAGCUGAGAUAAGGCGGGGCUUUACCUAGCAAAGACUUAUAGAUGACCUGGAGACAGUGGGUUUGGCGACGAAUAUGAAGCGAGGGCCAGCAGAAGAGCAUACAGGUCGCAGUGGUGGAUAGAGAAUCACCAGCAGCAAGCAGCAAGAGCGACAUCAUCGAUGUAUACAGAGAAAAGAGUCGGCCCAAGAAUUGAACUCCACCCCCAAAGAGACUGCCAGAGGUCCGGACAACAGGCCAUCCGAUUUGACACACUGAACUCUGUCUGAGAAGCAGUUGUUGAACCAGGCAAUGCAGUUAUUUGAGAAACCAAGGCUGUUGAGUCUGCCGAUAAGAAUGCGGUGAUUGACAGAAUCGAAAACCUUGGCCAGGUCGAUGAAUACGGCUACACAGUAUUGGCUUUUGUCAGUGGCAGUUAUGAGAUCGUUUAGGACCUUGGGCGGGGCUGAUGUGCACCCAUGACCAGCUCGGAAACCAGAUUGCAUAGGGGAGAAGGUACGGUGGGAUUCGAAAUGGUCGGUGAUCUGUUUGUUAACUUGGCUUUCGAAAAAAGUCAGGGUAGGAUAGAUAUUGGUCUGUAACAGUUUGGGCCUAGAGUGUCUCCCCCUCUGAAGAGGGGGAUGACCGCGGCAGCUUUCCAAUCUUGGGGAUCUCAGACGAUACGAAAGAGACGUUGAACAGGCUAGUAAUAGGGGUUGCAACAAUUGCGGCGGAUAAUUUUAGAAAGUGAGGGUCCAGAUUGUCUAGGCCAGCUGAUUUGUUGGGGCCCAGAUUUUGCCUCUCUUUCAGAACAUCAGCUAUUUGGGUGAAGGAGAAAUGGGGAGGCUUGGGCGAGGAGGAUGGAGGGCUGUUGAUCGGGGUAGGGGUUAGUCGACCGAUUUAUAAUUUAUCAACGCUGAUUAUUACAGGACCAAAAAAAGGGGUCCAGGAGUGAAGGAGGAAGGAGUGAAGGAGGAAGGAGUGAAGGAGAAAUGGGGAGGCUUGGGCAAGUUGCUGUGGGGGGUGCAGAGCUGUUGACCGGGGUAGGGGUAUCCAGGUGGAAAGCAUGGCCAGUGGUAGAAAGAUGCUUAUUGAAAUUCUCGAUUAUCGUAUAUUUAUCGGUGAUGAAGGUGUUUCCUAGCCUCAGUGCAGUAAAAAAAUGAACAACAGACUUUCAGCACACUUAUAGAGAAGGACACUCAACAUGUACGGCACUGACACACAUGACUGAUGAUUGGCUGAAAUAAAUGGAUAAUAAGAA